GACGGGCCUCCCCGCAUGGCGGAAGGCCAACCGGGUCAGGUGGGGAACCAAGCAGCCCUAACCAUGAUGUCAGUGCCGGGGUUCAGGCUCGUCAAC
This 96-nucleotide signal recognition particle RNA is filed under the name Candidatus Symbiobacter mobilis CR. Its description in RNAcentral is "Bacterial small signal recognition particle RNA". It matches the Rfam family "Bacterial small signal recognition particle RNA". From Rfam's summary of the family: The signal recognition particle (SRP) is a universally conserved ribonucleoprotein involved in the co-translational targeting of proteins to membranes. The record is from Rfam by way of RNAcentral. Lineage: Bacteria; Pseudomonadati; Pseudomonadota; Betaproteobacteria; Burkholderiales; Comamonadaceae.